AAGCGUAGGGAGCGAACAGGAUUAGAUACCCUGGUAGUCCACGCCGUAAACGUUGGGCACUAGGUGUGGGGCCCCGCUCGGCGGGGGUCCGCGCCGCAGCUAACGCAUUAAGUGCCCCGCCUGGGGAGUACGGCCGCAAGGCUAAAACUCAAAGGAAUUGACGGGGGCCCGCACAAGCGGCGGAGCAUGCGGAUUAAUUCGAUGCAACGCGAAGAACCUUACCAGGGCUUGACAUGGGGGCGGCGGCGCCGGAGACGGCGCCUCCCUUUUUCGGGCGCCCCCGCAGGUGGUGCAUGGUUGUCGUCAGCUCGUGUCGUGAGAUGUUGGGUUAAGUCCCGCAACGAGUGCAACCCCUGUCCCGUGUUGCCAGCGCGUCGUGGCGGGGACUCUCGGGAGACUGCCGGGGUCAACUCGGAGGAGGGUGGGGACGACGUCAAAUCAUCAUGCCCCUGACGUCCUGGGCUUCACGCAUGCUACAAUGGCCGGUACAGAGGGUUGCGAUGCCGUGAGGCGGGGCGAAUCCCUUAAAGCCGGUCUCAGUUCGGAUCGGUGUCUGCAACUCGACACCGUGAAGUCGGAGUCGCUAGUAAUCGCAGAUCAGCAUUGCUGCGGUGAAUACGUUCUCGGGCCUUGUACACACCGCCCGUCACGUCAUGAAAGUCGGCGACGCCCGAAACCCGUGGCCCCAUGGGGAGCGGUCGAAGGCGGGGCCGGUGAGUUUAACGAAGUCGUAACAAGGUAGCCGUAAUCUGCG
Molecule: ribosomal RNA, 754 nt
Filed under: uncultured bacterium
Lineage: Bacteria
Description: bacterial SSU rRNA
Rfam family: Bacterial small subunit ribosomal RNA
Source: RNAcentral